This 375-nucleotide ribosomal RNA is filed under the name uncultured eukaryote. RNAcentral describes it as "partial 18S ribosomal RNA". It matches the Rfam family "Eukaryotic small subunit ribosomal RNA", at positions 592 to 976 of the family's 1831-position model. The record is from RNAcentral.
CAAUAGCGUAUAUUUAAGUUGUUGCAGUUAAAAAGCUCGUAGUUGGAUUUCGGUUAAGAGCGACCGGUCCGCCGUUUGGUGUGCACUGGUUGGUUUUAACUUCCUGUAGAGGACGUGCUCUGGGUUUAACGACCUGGACUCGGAGUCUACGUGGUUACUUUGAAAAAAUUAGAGUGUUCAAAGCGGGCUUACGCUUGAAUAUUUCAGCAUGGAAUAACACUAUAGGACUCCUGUCCUAUUUCGUUGGUCUCGGGACGGGAGUAAUGAUUAAGAGGAACAGUUGAGGGCAUUCGUAUUUCAUUGUCAGAGGUGAAAUUCUUGGAUUUAUGAAAGACGAACUUCUGCGAAAGCAUUUGCCAAGGAUGUUUUCAUUAA